Molecule: ribosomal RNA, 119 nt
Filed under: Pteropus alecto (black flying fox)
Lineage: Eukaryota; Metazoa; Chordata; Mammalia; Chiroptera; Pteropodidae
Source: RNAcentral
GUCUAUGGCCAUGCCACCCUGAAUGUGCCCGAUCUCAUCUGAUCUUGGAAACUAAGUAGGGUCGGGCCUUGUUAGUACUUGAAUGGGAGACCACCUAGGAAUACCAGAUGCUGUAGGUG